This is a transfer RNA of Penicillium nordicum, 93 nucleotides long. It matches the Rfam family "tRNA". From Rfam's summary of the family: Transfer RNA (tRNA) molecules are approximately 80 nucleotides in length. The record is from Rfam. NCBI's taxonomy places the organism in Eukaryota, Fungi, Ascomycota, Eurotiomycetes, Eurotiales, Aspergillaceae.
GGGCGGCUGGCCUAAUGGUAAGGCGUCUGAUUUCGGUCGAGCAAUGCUCAAAGGUUCUCAGAAGACUUGCAGGUUCGAUCCCUGCGUCGCUCA